This 497-nucleotide ribosomal RNA is filed under the name uncultured bacterium. RNAcentral's name for it is "partial 16S ribosomal RNA". It matches the Rfam family "Bacterial small subunit ribosomal RNA", at positions 28 to 507 of the family's 1533-position model. The record is from RNAcentral.
GAUGAACGCUGGCGGCGUGCCUAAUACAUGCAAGUCGAGCGAACGGACGAGAAGCUUGCUUCUCUGAUGUUAGCGGCGGACGGGUGAGUAACACGUGGAUAACCUACCUAUAAGACUGGGAUAACUUCGGGAAACCGGAGCUAAUACCGGCUAAUAUUUUGAACCGCAUGGUUCAAAAGUGAAAGACGGUCUUGCCGUCACUUAUAGAUGGAUCCGCGCUGCAUUAGCUAGUUGGUAAGGUAACGGCUUACCAAGGCAACGAUGCAUAGCCGACCUGAGAGGGUGAUCGGCCACACUGGAACUGAGACACGGUCCAGACUCCUACGGGAGGCAGCAGUAGGGAAUCUUCCGCAAUGGGCGAAAGCCUGACGGAGCAACGCCGCGUGAGUGAUGAAGGUCUUCGGAUCGUAAAACUCUGUUAUUAGGGAAGAACAUAUGUGUAAGUAACUGUGCACAUCUUGACGGUACCUAAUCAGAAAGCCACGGCUAACUACGUG